AAUAUUGCGCAAUGGGGGAAACCAUGACGCAGCAACGCCGCGUGAUGGAUGAAGGCCUUCGGGUCGUCAAGUUCUGUCCUCAGGGAAGAAUAAAUUGACGGUACCUGAGGCAGAAUCCCCGGCUAACUACGUGCCAGCAGCCGCGGUAAUACGUAGGGGGCAAGCGUUGUCCGGAAUUAUUGGGCGUAAAGGGUGCGUAGGCGUCCUUUUAAGUUAGAUGUGAAAGACCACAGCUUAACUGAGGGAUUGAAUUUGAAACUGAAGGGAUUGAGUGUCGGAGAGGGUAGUGGAAUUCACGGGGUGGCGGUGAAAUGCGUAGAUAUCGGGAGGAAAGCAAGUGGAGAAGGCAACUACAUGGCCGACAACUGACGCUGAGGCACGAAAGCUAGGGGAGCAAAC
This 399-nucleotide ribosomal RNA is filed under the name uncultured bacterium. Its description in RNAcentral is "partial 16S ribosomal RNA". It matches the Rfam family "Bacterial small subunit ribosomal RNA", at positions 360 to 773 of the family's 1533-position model. The record is from RNAcentral.